RNAcentral lists this ribosomal RNA (2902 nucleotides) under Klebsiella pneumoniae. Its description in RNAcentral is "23S ribosomal RNA". It matches the Rfam family "Bacterial large subunit ribosomal RNA". Lineage: Bacteria; Pseudomonadati; Pseudomonadota; Gammaproteobacteria; Enterobacterales; Enterobacteriaceae. The record is from RNAcentral.
GGUUAAGCGACUAAGCGUACACGGUGGAUGCCCUGGCAGUCAGAGGCGAUGAAGGACGUGCUAAUCUGCGAAAAGCGUCGGUAAGGUGAUAUGAACCGUUAUAACCGGCGAUGUCCGAAUGGGGAAACCCAGUGCAAUUCGUUGCACUAUCGUUAACUGAAUACAUAGGUUAACGAGGCGAACCGGGGGAACUGAAACAUCUAAGUACCCCGAGGAAAAGAAAUCAACCGAGAUUCCCCCAGUAGCGGCGAGCGAACGGGGAGCAGCCCAGAGUCUGAAUCAGCUUGUGUGUUAGUGGAACGGUCUGGAAAGUCCGACGGUACAGGGUGAUAGUCCCGUACACCAAAAUGCACAGGUUGUGAACUCGAAGAGUAGGGCGGGACACGUGGUAUCCUGUCUGAAUAUGGGGGGACCAUCCUCCAAGGCUAAAUACUCCUGACUGACCGAUAGUGAACCAGUACCGUGAGGGAAAGGCGAAAAGAACCCCGGCGAGGGGAGUGAAAAAGAACCUGAAACCGUGUACGUACAAGCAGUGGGAGCACCUUCGGGUGUGACUGCGUACCUUUUGUAUAAUGGGUCAGCGACUUAUAUUCUGUAGCAAGGUUAACCGUAUAGGGGAGCCGCAGGGAAACCGAGUCUUAACUGGGCGUUAAGUUGCAGGGUAUAGACCCGAAACCCGGUGAUCUAGCCAUGGGCAGGUUGAAGGUUGGGUAACACUAACUGGAGGACCGAACCGACUAAUGUUGAAAAAUUAGCGGAUGACUUGUGGCUGGGGGUGAAAGGCCAAUCAAACCGGGAGAUAGCUGGUUCUCCCCGAAAGCUAUUUAGGUAGCGCCUCGUGAAUUCAUCUUCGGGGGUAGAGCACUGUUUCGGCUAGGGGGUCAUCCCGACUUACCAACCCGAUGCAAACUACGAAUACCGAAGAAUGUUAUCACGGGAGACACACGGCGGGUGCUAACGUCCGUCGUGAAGAGGGAAACAACCCAGACCGCCAGCUAAGGUCCCAAAGUCAUGGUUAAGUGGGAAACGAUGUGGGAAGGCACAGACAGCCAGGAUGUUGGCUUAGAAGCAGCCAUCAUUUAAAGAAAGCGUAAUAGCUCACUGGUCGAGUCGGCCUGCGCGGAAGAUGUAACGGGGCUAAACCAUGCACCGAAGCUGCGGCAGCGACACUAUGUGUUGUUGGGUAGGGGAGCGUUCUGUAAGCCUGCGAAGGUGUGCUGUGAGGCAUGCUGGAGGUAUCAGAAGUGCGAAUGCUGACAUAAGUAACGAUAAAGCGGGUGAAAAGCCCGCUCGCCGGAAGACCAAGGGUUCCUGUCCAACGUUAAUCGGGGCAGGGUGAGUCGACCCCUAAGGCGAGGCCGAAAGGCGUAGUCGAUGGGAAACAGGUUAAUAUUCCUGUACUUGGUGUUACUGCGAAGGGGGGACGGAGAAGGCUAUGUUAGCCGGGCGACGGUUGUCCCGGUUUAAGCAUGUAGGCUGGUUAUCCAGGCAAAUCCGGAUAAUCAAGGCUGAGGUGUGAUGACGAGGCACUACGGUGCUGAAGUAACAAAUGCCCUGCUUCCAGGAAAAGCCUCUAAGCAUCAGGUAACAUCAAAUCGUACCCCAAACCGACACAGGUGGUCAGGUAGAGAAUACCAAGGCGCUUGAGAGAACUCGGGUGAAGGAACUAGGCAAAAUGGUGCCGUAACUUCGGGAGAAGGCACGCUGGUGUGUAGGUGAAGCCCCUGCGGGUGGAGCUGAGACCAGUCGAAGAUACCAGCUGGCUGCAACUGUUUAUUAAAAACACAGCACUGUGCAAACACGAAAGUGGACGUAUACGGUGUGACGCCUGCCCGGUGCCGGAAGGUUAAUUGAUGGGGUUAUCCGUAAGGAGAAGCUCUUGAUCGAAGCCCCGGUAAACGGCGGCCGUAACUAUAACGGUCCUAAGGUAGCGAAAUUCCUUGUCGGGUAAGUUCCGACCUGCACGAAUGGCGUAAUGAUGGCCAGGCUGUCUCCACCCGAGACUCAGUGAAAUUGAACUCGCUGUGAAGAUGCAGUGUACCCGCGGCAAGACGGAAAGACCCCGUGAACCUUUACUAUAGCUUGACACUGAACAUUGAGCCUUGAUGUGUAGGAUAGGUGGGAGGCUUUGAAGCGUGGACGCCAGUCUGCGUGGAGCCAACCUUGAAAUACCACCCUUUAAUGUUUGAUGUUCUAACGUUGGCCCCUUAUCGGGGUUGCGGACAGUGUCUGGUGGGUAGUUUGACUGGGGCGGUCUCCUCCCAAAGCGUAACGGAGGAGCACGAAGGUUAGCUAAUCCUGGUCGGACAUCAGGAGGUUAGUGCAAUGGCAUAAGCUAGCUUGACUGCGAGCGUGACGGCGCGAGCAGGUGCGAAAGCAGGUCAUAGUGAUCCGGUGGUUCUGAAUGGAAGGGCCAUCGCUCAACGGAUAAAAGGUACUCCGGGGAUAACAGGCUGAUACCGCCCAAGAGUUCAUAUCGACGGCGGUGUUUGGCACCUCGAUGUCGGCUCAUCACAUCCUGGGGCUGAAGUAGGUCCCAAGGGUAUGGCUGUUCGCCAUUUAAAGUGGUACGCGAGCUGGGUUUAGAACGUCGUGAGACAGUUCGGUCCCUAUCUGCCGUGGGCGCUGGAGAAUUGAGGGGGGCUGCUCCUAGUACGAGAGGACCGGAGUGGACGCAUCACUGGUGUUCGGGUUGUCAUGCCAAUGGCACUGCCCGGUAGCUAAAUGCGGAAGAGAUAAGUGCUGAAAGCAUCUAAGCACGAAACUUGCCCCGAGAUGAGUUCUCCCUGAGACUUUAAGUCUCCUGAAGGAACGUUGAAGACGACGACGUUGAUAGGCCGGGUGUGUAAGCGCAGCGAUGCGUUGAGCUAACCGGUACUAAUGAACCGUGAGGCUUAACCUU